RNAcentral lists this ribosomal RNA (1348 nucleotides) under Desulfotomaculum nigrificans. Its description in RNAcentral is "bacterial SSU rRNA". It matches the Rfam family "Bacterial small subunit ribosomal RNA", at positions 28 to 1379 of the family's 1533-position model. The record is from RNAcentral. Lineage: Bacteria; Bacillati; Bacillota; Clostridia; Eubacteriales; Desulfotomaculaceae.
GACGAACGCUGGCGGCGUGCCUAACACAUGCAAGUCGAACGGGGUUUAGAAUGAAGCUUGCGAUUUCUAAACCUAGUGGCGGACGGGUGAGUAACGCGUGGAUAACCUGCCUGGUAGACCGGGAUAACAGCUGGAAACGGCUGCUAAUACCGGAUACGCUCUUGGUGNCGCAUGGUGCCGAGAGGAAAGGUGGAGCCGCUAUCAGAUGGAUCCGCGUCCCAUUAGCUGGUUGGUGGUGUAGCGGACCACCAAGGCGACGAUGGGUAGCCGGCCUGAGAGGGCGACCGGCCACACUGGGACUGAGACACGGCCCAGACUCCUACGGGAGGCAGCAGUGGGGAAUCUUCCGCAAUGGGCGAAAGCCUGACGGAGCAACGCCGCGUGAGGGAAGAAGGCCUUCGGGUUGUAAACCUCUGUCCUAAAGGAAGAAAGAAAUGACGGUACUUUAGGAGGAAGCCCCGGCUAACUACGUGCCAGCAGCCGCGGUAAAACGUAGGGGGCGAGCGUUGUCCGGAAUUACUGGGCGUAAAGGGCGCGUAGGUGGUNCAUUAAGUUAGAGGUGAAAGUGCGGGGCUUAACCCCGUGAUUGCCUCUGAUACUGGUGGACUUGAGUGCAGGAGAGGGGAGCGGAAUUCCCAGUGUAGCGGUGAAAUGCGUAGAUAUUGGGAGGAACACCAGUGGCGAAGGCGGCUCUCUGGACUGCAACUGACACUGAGGCGCGAAAGCGUGGGGAGCAAACAGGAUUAGAUACCCUGGUAGUCCACGCCGUAAACGAUGAGUGCUAGGUGUUGCGGGUAUCGACCCCUGCAGUGCCGCAGUAAACACAAUAAGCACUCCGCCUGGGGAGUACGGUCGCAAGACUGAAACUCAAAGGAAUUGACGGGGGCCCGCACAAGCGGUGGAGUAUGUGGUUUAAUUCGACGCAACGCGAAGAACCUUACCAGGGCUUGACAUCGCGCGACAGCUCUAGAGAUAGAGGGUUCUGCCUUAGGGUAGACGCGCAGACAGGUGGUGCAUGGUUGUCGUCAGCUCGUGUCGUGAGAUGUUGGGUUAAGUCCCGCAACGAGCGCAACCCCUAACAUUAGUUGCCAGCGAGAGAGACGGGGACUCUAAUGUGACUGCCGUUGACAAAACGGAGGAAGGUGGGGAUGACGUCAAAUCAUCAUGCCCCUUAUGUCCUGGGCUACACACGUACUACAAUGGCCGGUACAAACGGAGGCGAAGGCGUGAGCCGGAGCAAAACUGAGAAAGCCGGUCUCAGUUCGGAUUGUAGUCUGCAACUCGACUACAUGAAGUCGGAAUCGCUAGUAAUCGCAGGUCAGCAUACUGCGGUGAAUACGUCCCGGGC